This is a non-coding RNA of Pogona vitticeps (central bearded dragon), 833 nucleotides long. Lineage: Eukaryota; Metazoa; Chordata; Lepidosauria; Squamata; Agamidae. The record is from RefSeq and is a predicted model, not a curated record.
CUUAGCGUCUCAGUCCCGCUCCCGCCGCUGAAACGGGGACUGGUCAUAGAAAAUAGGGGGGGGGGAGGUAUCAUUUUAGCUAGGGCUUUGGAAAAGUUAUCGUUUGGAAUGCAAGUCCCAGAAUAGCCCCCAGCUGGCGGAUUUUUAGCUCAUAGGCAAAAGCACAAUUCAUUCGGUAUGCCAAUGAAAGAAGGAACCUGGUUUCUAUUGAGAGUGGGGGUCGUGAAUAGAGGAGUUUCUGCUGCGGCAGGAUUUGUGUUUUAUCCGGGGCAGUUUCUGGCUGAAAUGAGGCAGCCGUGGACAGAGUGAGAUGGUGGACAUCACUGGAAGAACAGGACCUAAACUCCGUAUGAAGGAGGAAGAUGUAAGCCCUGAUGCCUUAAAGAGGGACGCAUCUGAAGAUGUUCGGGAGGAGCAGAGGGAACUGCCUACCCUUUCCCUAGCUGAGCAAGUGAAGCCCCGAGCCAGACUUAAAGCUGACGUCACUAGAAAAUGACCAGCAGACAUCCAGGGGUCAACCGAGUGGCCAGUUGACGGGAAAGGUUGUGGAGGAAGGAGCCAGUGGUCGACAGAGGGACUCCUGAGUGCCAGCAGAGAUGUGUCCAUCUGAAGGAGAUGACAACAUCUGGACCAGUCCAUGGUGCGCCAGACUACUACGGUAAAGUGAGAGACUUGGACUUUGCCAAUUUUACCUUUGCAACAGAGGCUCAGAUCAUUCCUUGAAAGCCCAAUGACUGAUGGGGGUGGAUAAUCCAAGCUGAUAUUGUAUUAUAAAUGUUCUGUUUGUAAAUGUGAUGAAAAAUUGAAUUGACAGACCAAAAUGUGAAGAAUGA